Long non-coding RNA from Polyodon spathula (Mississippi paddlefish), 935 nucleotides. RefSeq lists it as uncharacterized. The transcript has 2 exons. Lineage: Eukaryota; Metazoa; Chordata; Actinopteri; Acipenseriformes; Polyodontidae. The record is from RefSeq and is a predicted model, not a curated record.
AUUUAAGGAAUACAAUGUUAAUACGUUGAAAUUCGCUGGCAGCUGCCAUUUGUCAAGGCUAUUCCAAUGUUCCCUUUCAGCAUUGUAAUUUCACAUAAUUUCCCUUACAAUUGUAGCACCCUUGUCUCUGCAAUUUGUGUAUGAAUAACAGAAUACUUUUUCUCUUUUGUUUCGUUUUUGCUACCUCUGAUCCAAAUAAAGAUGGCUUUUAGUAUUAAAAGUGGAAGAAAAUUACAGGUAAUUAUCUUUGACGGUAAAAACGCUGUAAUCAGCGGGCUACAUCAAAAAUUACCCUAAUUAUGCCUGCAUUUAAGAGAACGGAGGAAAAAAAAAAAACCCUUUCGUGGAUAAAAAACAUAAAUUGUCCCAAAUAUCUGCUCAGAUUGGACAGGGCUGCAGCUGGAUGCUUUGUUCAGAAUUGAUCCUGUGGAGCCUGGCAUUCAGUAUUUCACAAUGAGAGGCAGAACAAGAGAAAAUAAAAAAAAAAAAAAAAAAAAAAAAAAACAUUUUGUCAAUAGUGUACUGCAAUGAGUGUGCUAGAAACUAACAAAGACUGACUGACCACGAAGCAGCAAAGACCGAACAGAAGAUUAGUAUCGAUAGGAGAACGUCAGACAUGUUGGCUGCAGCAGAAGAUGGUCCGAGAAGUCUGCAGAGCCAUCCUGGUGCUAUUAGAGUUGUUGCUAAUAAUAGGUGUUUCAUCGCAAGAAGAUCAAUCAUGUUGAAUUUUCCAAGGAAUGGCUUCAGAUCUACAUCUGUCCCAAUGGAUCAAAUUACACUUUUGUUUUUAGCUGCAUUACUUUAAAAUUGGUUGCCCUUUUUCAUGCAUGUGUGUCAAUGGGCAGCUAAACUGAUUUUCAUUUCAAUCUCUUGUCAGCUGAAUAUGUAGAGUUGAAAUGCAUUGCUUCUCCAUCCAAUAAAUAUUUUUCCUUUAA